GCAGGCGGUUUCUUAAGUCUGAUGUGAAAGCCCCCCGGCUCAACCGGGGAGGGUCAUUGGAAACUGGGGAACUUGAGUGCAGAAGAGGAGAGUGGAAUUCCACGUGUAGCGGUGAAAUGCGUAGAGAUGUGGAGGAACACCAGUGGCGAAGGCGACUCUCUGGUCUGUAACUGACGCUGAGGAGCGAAAGCGUGGGGAGCGAACAGGAUUAGAUACCCUGGUAGUCCACGCCGUAAACGAUGAGUGCUAAGUGUUAGGGGGUUUCCGCCCCUUAGUGCUGCAGCUAACGCAUUAAGCACUCCGCCUGGGGAGUACGGUCGCAAGACUGAAACUCAAAGGAAUUGACGGGGGCCCGCACAAGCGGUGGAGCAUGUGGUUUAAUUCGAAGCAACGCGAAGAACCUUACCAGGUCUUGACAUCCUCUGACAAUCCUAGAGAUAGGACGUCCCCUUCGGGGGCAGAGUGACAGGUGGUGCAUGGUUGUCGUCAGCUCGUGUCGUGAGAUGUUGGGUUAAGUCCCGCAACGAGCGCAACCCUUGAUCUUAGUUGCCAGCAUUCAGUUGGGCACUCUAAGGUGACUGCCGGUGACAAACCGGAGGAAGGUGGGGAUGACGUCAAAUCAUCAUGCCCCUUAUGACCUGGGCUACACACGUGCUACAAUGGACAGAACAAAGGGCAGCGAAACCGCGAGGUUAAGCCAAUCCCACAAAUCUGUUCUCAGUUCGGAUCGCAGUCUGCAACUCGACUGCGUGAAGCUGGAAUCGCUAGUAAUCGCGGAUCAGCA
RNAcentral lists this ribosomal RNA (784 nucleotides) under Bacillus mojavensis. RNAcentral describes it as "bacterial SSU rRNA". It matches the Rfam family "Bacterial small subunit ribosomal RNA", at positions 571 to 1354 of the family's 1533-position model. Lineage: Bacteria; Bacillati; Bacillota; Bacilli; Caryophanales; Bacillaceae. The record is from RNAcentral.